CGCUUAGAAUAAAACGGACGGAGCCGUCUGUGACCCGUCGGAAUCAGUCGAAUCGAUGCGUGAAGGCGAGUAUGAUAUAAAACGGAACGAAAGUCCGGUCGUCUCGUAGUAAACAGUAGCGCUCGUUCGAUGCAUUUCCGAAGGGUAAGCACCGCGACCGAUGUCGAAGGCUAGUGAAGCCGUCGGAUUGAGGUCGAGCUCGUUUCUCGAGUCUCGUUACCAGUCCUUCGGUAUGAAUAGAAUUCGCUGGACCCUAGCAUCGAGAAUAAAAGUGAAUGUCGGUGAACUAUACGCUCACCUGCUACGAUGGACGUGCGGCCGUUCGAUCGUCGCCUGCUCGCAGGUUACGGUUUGAAUCAGGUUCGUAUCCGAAGUCGUCGGUGACGUUUUGACAUUCAGGCAUCCGCGGUGUCCGAGUCGGUCACCCGUCCGACCCGUCUUGAAACACGGACCAAGGAGUCUAACGUAAGCGCGAGCUAAUGGGUGGAAAACCUAUAAGCGAAAUAAAAGUAAAAGCCGUUUCGGACGGCCGAGGUACGAUCCCGAAGAACGAAGUAUCUUCGGGCGCAGUACCAUCCCGUCCCGACCGCUUGUCGGUAGGGCGGAGAUAGAGUGCAUACGUUGGGACCCGAAAGAUGGUGAACUAUGCCUGAGCAGAGCGAAGCCAGAGGAAACUCUGGUGGAGGUUCGUAGCGGUUCUGACGUGCAAAUCGAUCGUCAGACUUGGGUAUAGGGGCGAAAGACUAAUCGAACCAUCUAGUAGCUGGUUCCCCCUGAAGUUUCCCUCAGGAUAGCUGAUACUCAGGGAAUAACGAAGUUUUAUCCGGUAAAGCGAAUGAUUAGAGGCCUUGGGGACGAAAUGACCUCAACCUAUUCUCAAACUUUAAAUGGGGUAAGAAGUCGAGCUUGCUCGAUCGAAG
RNAcentral lists this ribosomal RNA (920 nucleotides) under Xiphinema afratakhtehnsis. Its description in RNAcentral is "partial 28S ribosomal RNA". It matches the Rfam family "Eukaryotic large subunit ribosomal RNA", at positions 406 to 1100 of the family's 3401-position model. The record is from RNAcentral. Lineage: Eukaryota; Metazoa; Nematoda; Enoplea; Dorylaimida; Longidoridae.